UGUGCUAUCAGGGUGGUUAGGAAGUUGAAUUGUUAAUCGGAACACCAGUGUGGGCAGGAAUGACUGAAGGUUAACCACCGCACUGCAAUCUGUUGUCAUGUGUAUGUGUUCAUGUGUUAAUACCUCACUUUCACUUCCUUUCGUACUUUCUUUGUGUUGUGUGUGGGUGUGUUCAGCGUGGAACGAGACUCAUGGAACUCAAAACCCUGGUGAGUUCUGUCUCGUCUAUAUGAUAGAGACUCAAACACAUGAGUCAAUAACAUAAAUGAUGUGAUAAAACACUUUUAUUUGUGUAUAUGUAUAAUGUCUGUUGUUUGCACAAUAUGAAUGUUUUUGUUUUUAAUAUGAAGAAGAUUUGAAGGAAAUGACAUCAUCUGUCUCAGGUAAAAACACACAUGAAUGUCUGGAGGGUUUAAAUCAUUAUUCACAGUAUACAAACUAAAUCUGGUGUCUUUUGUGUCAAUGUUGGUGUAGAUGUGUUGCUUUGGAUCUUUGCUCCUUGUUUCAUCAUUGUUGUGCUGUUGGUCUGUUUCAUCAUCUUAAAAGGUCUCAUCUGUCGCUGUGCUGGUGUGAGGAGAGACAGAGAUGCUGAAGCUGCUGAGACUGAAUCUACACCGGAAGAAUGUGAAGACAUGGACACAAGCUGAUGACGAGUGUUGUUUUGACCAGUGUGGGUGCCGGUGGACAUUAAAGGUUCUGAGGCCGGCUCUACAAACGAUCGUUUGAAUGGGCGUGCUGCAUUGAAGACUUGGAAGUAAACACCCACUGCUAUGAUUGGAUAACAGUUUGCGUAGUAAACUUAGUUGGAGGCUUCUGUGAAUUUGGUUGGAGACGUCACGUUAGGUUACACAUUAGCACCAUUCACAGUUUUCGCAGGGCAUUAGUAUUAUCUGGAGACCUCCUGUGAUUUAUAAAUGACCUCCCCACAUCUGUAUUUCAUGUGACGCAUUCGCACGGGAUGAUUUGACUCAAAUUUACCGACUUAUUUCCCGGAUGUGAUGGCAAGGCUUUGCGUAUAGUUUGUAUAGCCUAUAGUUGUAUUGCGUUUAAUGAUAAAUGACCGUACCUGUCAGCAUUUGAGACCUGUGAUCACGAUCCAGAGAGACUCAAAUGCUACGAGAGUUUCCAUGAUAAAUAAACAAACGGGAGACUCCCGGUAAUUUAUGGAUAUCACCCAGCACCCGAAAUAAUACCAAAACACUUCAACACAGCCUCCAUUAUUCGCAAACGGUGGAUAAAACCUUGAAAAAUGAUAUAUGAGCUCGCCAAAUCACAGAGAUGGCGAUUCGCACUGGCUUAUGAUCACAGACCACCUCUUCAAUUAAUACAAAUGACUAGAGGUCCCCAGGUAAUAAUACUAAUCCCGUGGGAAUAGUGCUCAGGGCAUAUCAAGCGAUCUCUAACAAAGCAAUAGUGAGGCAUAGUACAAACAUGUUUUACUCACAUAAGAUUGCUGUGCCAUUCCUAUCGGAUCCAAUAUUGACGGCACAGCACUGCUUUUUCAUUUUAGUCUCUCCGCAAAUCCAGCGUGGACCUCUGCCUUGUUCACAAAGGAAUCCGCGGUGAAAUGAAGUGAACAAACGCUCAAUGAUAUAGCCACGUGAGCUGGAACGUCUUUCAAAAUAAACUUCAACCCCGCAUUGCUAAUGUGGGAAUCCGAAGGAAGGUUAUGCAGAGACUGUGUUCUUCCACAACCAGGCACUGCACAAUAUUUUGCGAUCUUUAACGGCAUGUUUAUUGCUUGCUCGCGUCAUCUAUAGUGGGCGGGGCUAGAGAAGUAGUCCUUGAUAGUCUUCUGUGGAGGCGGUGUUCAAUAGGUGCAUUCCAGGACCUGUUCGCUGGGUCUGGUGUCAAUAACAGUUGUUAUUUCAGUAACAAGGGCGUUUUCAGUUCUGACACUUACAGGAUGUUCGCUUGAAUACCAUUCCCUCUUAUAUAACAAAGUCUUCCCUCUUUUAAUUCAUGGCUCCUUUAAGCAGACAUAAGUCGUCCGGUCAGAGACAAAGUAUAUUUUAAUAUCUUGGUGCUUGAAAGUCUUUACAGUCCUUAGGUAGAUGAUUUAUAAGAGUGUUUUUGUAUAGGAACGCACUCUGUAAACAAUAAGAACGGAAGAACUUUCGCGCAGCUUGGUCAGGCGAGCUCUGAACUACGUUCUGUUAAUACUGUCAUCAACGUAAUGCCUUCUAGAGCCGAGAGAGGGCGCCAAUCUCUAACUGCGGUAUAGUAAAGUCCCCCUUUUCCACAAUGAUGAUGUUUUAUAUGGAGUCAAACUCAGGGAUCAGAAAUCAAAGAGUUUUUAAAGUUGUAAUGUUCUGCCAGUCAUGCAGCCCUUUUUUAUUUAAUCUCAUUUCACUAUUUUUCAUCUUUAUUAUUGGUGUCAAGUAUGUGGUGCAAGUAUUAUCUGACAGAUAUCUCUAUCACAUGUUGUGUUAUUCCGUUGUUGUCUUUUUACAAUGUUCACUAAUAUGGAUAUGAGCUUGUUUUUACAAUAUUUAAGAUUUGCAAAUAUAAUUUGUCCUGUUUCAGGUUUGUUUUUUACUUUUUCAUUUGGAAUUUAGGAGAAAUGCUGUCAGUCCACAAAAUGAUCAUCUUAAAC
Molecule: long non-coding RNA, 2596 nt
Organism: Triplophysa rosa
Lineage: Eukaryota; Metazoa; Chordata; Actinopteri; Cypriniformes; Nemacheilidae
Exons: 4
Source: RefSeq, a predicted model, not a curated record